This 216-nucleotide long non-coding RNA is filed under the name Lathyrus oleraceus (garden pea). Its description in RNAcentral is "Pisum sativum (pea) long non-coding RNA (PSAT_LNC006888)". The record is from RNAcentral. Lineage: Eukaryota; Viridiplantae; Streptophyta; Magnoliopsida; Fabales; Fabaceae.
AGAAUAGUUUCAUUAAGGCUUAAGUAGUUUAUGACUUAUUUUGGUUGUAUUGUAUUACUUCAUUAGUUUAUGGCUUAACUAGUUUAUGACUUAAGUAGCUUAUGACAAUGUUAAGUAUAUCAGUUAUGGUUAAUGUUAAUGUUCAUUUUCAUUUUGAGUUAUGACAAUGUUAAGUAUAUCAAUUAUGGUUAAUGUUAAUGUUCAUUUUCAUUUUGA